This 265-nucleotide long non-coding RNA is filed under the name Populus tremula. Its description in RNAcentral is "long non-coding RNA (PTRE_LNC001080)". Lineage: Eukaryota; Viridiplantae; Streptophyta; Magnoliopsida; Malpighiales; Salicaceae. The record is from RNAcentral.
AAAAAACUACCAUGUAUCUGUAACUAAACCCAAGAACACCAAAUUCUUUCAUAGAUAUCUAUUAUAUAAAGAUCUAUUAUAUAAAGAUCUCUAUUAUAAUGAAUUGAACAAUCAUAACAUCGUGAUCUAAGUAGCCUCUAGGCAUGUGUUACCAAAAAUUUAAUCUAGCUAAUUUUUUAAUGAAGGGAUAUGUAUAUAAUGAAGGAUACCAACUAAUAUUUUUUUUCUGCUUCUCAUGACCUCUCUCUCUCUCUCUCUCUCUCUC